AGAAUCAACGCUGGCGGCGUGCCUAACACAUGCAAGUCGAACGAGAAAGUGGAGCAAUCCAUGAGUAAAGUGGCGCACGGGUGAGUAACACGUGACUAACCUACCCUUGAGUGGGGAAUAACCUCGGGAAACCGGGCUAAUACCGCAUAACACCUACGGGUCAAAGGAGCAAUUCGCUUAAGGAGGGGGUCGCGGCAGAUUAGUUAGUUGGCGGGGUAAUGGCCCACCAAGACAGUGAUCUGUA
RNAcentral lists this ribosomal RNA (244 nucleotides) under uncultured bacterium. Its description in RNAcentral is "partial small subunit ribosomal RNA". It matches the Rfam family "Bacterial small subunit ribosomal RNA", at positions 26 to 285 of the family's 1533-position model. The record is from RNAcentral.